Molecule: long non-coding RNA, 744 nt
Filed under: Homo sapiens (human)
Lineage: Eukaryota; Metazoa; Chordata; Mammalia; Primates; Hominidae
Description: HSALNT0077603
Source: RNAcentral
GCUCAAAGCAGCAGACCCACUCCAGGGCCUGCUUUUCACUACAGAUUCUGAAACACAGAAGGAAUUAAAAUGCUUGCUCUUGAUAGCCUGGGCUGGGAGUUAGUGCAUAUCAUCAGCCAUCCAUCUAAUGUGAUUGCUAAGAUGUACAGGAUAGGACAGCUUAGAAUGAGUGCCUUGACACCCACAUAUGGCUGCAUUCCAUACCUCAGUGAAGAAGCUGAAGGAUGCUGACACACAGUGAUGUGGAGGGCAUUCGGGAGAAACUUUUGCAACAGUGUAUUAAUGUGAUUGGUUUUCUUUUUGUUUUAAGCUAAACAUCUAAAACAAAUUUCAAGUUAACAGUACAUACAACUCAGAUUUAGUAUUAUUGUUUAUCAUAAAACAUAUUAUGUUCCUAGUUUUAAAAAGACCCAAACUAUGAUUAAUAUAAUUUAUUGGCAUUUUUGCUGAAUAGGUUUAAGUCAGAUAAUAGAUUUUAAAAAAGCAAAUGAGGCAAUGUAUCAAAACUUAAUGUUUCAUUAUAAAAAUAGAUACGUUCACUUAAAAAAAAUAAAAUAAAAUGCUUGCUCUUACAUUUUUUUACAUAAGAAUGGUUACUUAUUCCUACCUUGUCUACCUUAUCUUGCUUUUGUUUUCCUUUCUCAUUGUUAGCACUAUUUUAAAGGCGAAAGGUCUUUCCCUACUAAAAAGGCAUUCCUUCCCAGGAAAGCCUUGUCAGGUUGGGCCAUUUUCAUUAUACUCUCA